Long non-coding RNA from Toxorhynchites rutilus septentrionalis, 949 nucleotides. RefSeq lists it as uncharacterized. The record is from RefSeq and is a predicted model, not a curated record. The transcript has 3 exons. Lineage: Eukaryota; Metazoa; Arthropoda; Insecta; Diptera; Culicidae.
CCUACCGGGCAUACCGGCAGCAACAUUGUAGGUUCGCGCUUGUGGAAGCGAACGAACGUCAGCAAACCGUCAGCGUCAGGUGGCGGUGGAAUUGCAUUAAUCGAUUUCUCGGCAGCGCGGAGACGAUAGGUCUGGCCCAAGUCGCUGGGCAUCAUCAUCGUCAUCAUCGCUGGGUGGAAAACGUUUUGCAAAAAAGUGCGCACCGAGAGAGAAUGUUGUCGAACGUGUCUAUGUCGUGAUUGAUUGAAUUUUAAUUCGUUGGAGAUGUUGAAGUAGCCAUACCGCCAUACCUAAUUGGUUCUUGGCUCGCCAUUAUCAAUCCCAGACGAUCGCUUCAGUUUAGUGUUUUUUCUCUCUUUUUCAAGCUUCUUAUUUCUUGCCCGGUCGGUUUGAAAUUGAUAUGUUCAUGUCUGCGCGCGGUAGUGAAAGGUCGCAGAAUGCUUACCCCUGGAUAGAAUAACUGAAAUGAAAACUACACACGCCGCGUCCGCGGAUGCGCCAGGCGAGGAAAGCUCGAGCUCGCCGGUUUCGUUGCGGCCGUUCGCUGCGUUGAUGCACUUCCGGGAUCUUCUGGGGCUGGAACUGAUGGUUCGGGAUGGCUUCGGCGGUACAGGACACUCCAAAUACGAUGACAAACAGUUUCACGUGGCACGGCCGUAUAUAAUGUGGACCGGCGUCACUGGUUAGCCAGAGUGUCGAGUUGGCUAAAUUGCUCGCACUCACUGUCUCGCGAACACACACGGUAGCGUUUCCAAUGCCUUUGACGAGCCGUCUCCCUUACGAUGCGACGACAAGGAACACGAUAACUACUCCGACAACACAAACACAACUUAAUACUAUUGGUUGCGGUUGGUGUCACGACUAAUAAAUAAACAUUUGAGGUAGCAUGCUAUACCUGGACAAUUAAACCUAGCACUUGCUUUCCGCAUAUAAAUGAAUAAAUAAACAA